CUUAAACCUUGAGAUCUGACCAGUCUGCACAGAUCAGAAGCAUGAAAACGCUAAGAAAACAUUUGAGAGUUUAGAGGAAAGGAAUAUCCCAUCCUGUUAAGGAAGAAUUCAAGCUGAUUUACAGAGAUAGACUGCAGAAGGGCAAGAGUGAAAGCAGAAAAUAUUGCUAGUAUAUAACUCCAGGUAUUUCUUCACAGCAGGAUGAGAAUGAACGAAUACAAGCAUUGUAGCACAAAAUUGCAAAAAACCUAACUAUUCAUCAAGAUGGGUAUGGCAAAUAAAUGAUCACCUAUCCAUAUUAUGAAACACCGUGC
This is a long non-coding RNA of Gorilla gorilla gorilla (western lowland gorilla), 314 nucleotides long. RefSeq lists it as uncharacterized. The transcript is spliced from 3 exons. The record is from RefSeq and is a predicted model, not a curated record. Lineage: Eukaryota; Metazoa; Chordata; Mammalia; Primates; Hominidae.